AGUCGACGGGGAUACGUUUUCGGAUGUAUUCUAGUGGCGCANNNGNNNNNUAANNNGUGAGCGACCUGACCCAAAGAGGGGGAUAACAUCGAGAAAUCGAUGCUAAUACCGCAUAAGACCACGGUAUCGCAUGGUACAGAGGUCAAAGGAGCAAUCCGCUUUGGGAGGGGCUCGCGUCCCAUUAGAUAGUAGGCGGGGUAACGGCCCACCUAGUCAACGAUGGGUAGCCGAGCUGAGAGGCUGAUCGGCCACACUGGAACUGAGACACGGUCCAGACUCCUACGGGAGGCAGCAGUGGGGAAUAUUGGGCAAUGGGCGAAAGCCUGACCCAGCAACGCCGCGUGAGGGAAGAAGGUUUUCGGAUUGUAAACCUCUGUCGCAGAUGACGAAGGAAGUGACGGUAAUCUGUGAGGAAGCCCCGGCUAACUACGUGCCAGCAGCCGUGGUAAUACGUAGGGGGCGAGCGUUGUCCGGAAUUACUGGGCGUAAAGGGUGCGUAGGCGGUUGAUUAAGUUGGAUGUGAAAUACCCGGGCUUAACCUGGGGGGUGCAUUCAAAACUGGUCAACUAGAGUUCAGGAGAGGGAAGCGGAAUUCCUAGUGUAGCGGUGAAAUGCGUAGAUAUUAGGAGGAACACCAGUGGCGAAGGCGGCUUUCUGGACUGACACUGACGCUGAGGCACGAAAGCGUGGGGAGCAAACAGGAUUAGAUACCCUGGUAGUCCACGCGGUAAACGAUGAAUACUAGGUGUAGGGGGUAUCAACUCCCUCUGUGCCGCAGCAAACGCAA
Molecule: ribosomal RNA, 787 nt
Filed under: uncultured bacterium
Lineage: Bacteria
Description: bacterial SSU rRNA
Rfam family: Bacterial small subunit ribosomal RNA
Source: RNAcentral